RNAcentral lists this ribosomal RNA (396 nucleotides) under uncultured bacterium. RNAcentral describes it as "partial 16S ribosomal RNA". It matches the Rfam family "Bacterial small subunit ribosomal RNA", at positions 523 to 917 of the family's 1533-position model. The record is from RNAcentral.
AUACGUAGGUGGCAAGCGUUGUCCGGAUUUAUUGGGCGUAAAGCGAGCGCAGGCGGUUUCUUAAGUCUGAUGUGAAAGCCCCCGGCUCAACCGGGGAGGGUCAUUGGAAACUGGGAGACUUGAGUGCAGAAGAGGAGAGUGGAAUUCCAUGUGUAGCGGUGAAAUGCGUGGAUAUAUGGAGGAACACCAGUGGCGAAGGCGGCUCUCUGGUCUGUAACUGACGCUGAGGCUCGAAAGCGCGGGGAGCAAACAGGAUUAGAUCCCCUGGUAGUCCACGCCGUAAACGAUGAGUGCUAAGUGUUGGAGGGUUUCCGCCCUUCAGUGCUGCAGCAAACGCAUUAAGCACUCCGCCUGGGGAGUACGACCGCAAGGUUGAAACUCAAAGGAAUUGGCGGG